AUCCCUCCGCCGGCCCUCCCCCGCGCGGCCCCGGCGCCCCUCCCCGCGGGCCGCGCUCGCCACCCUGCGCCUCAGACUGUUUUGGUAGCAACGGCCACGGCGCGUCCCGGCCCGGCUCCCGGCGGCUGCUCGGUGUCUGCGGGCCUCCCCGCCCCUUCGUCGUUGUCCUGCUGCCUCUGGCCCCCGCGGCCACGCCGGCCCGCGCCUGCCCGCCCGGCGUCCGCGCGUCCCCGCCGCGCUCCGGCGUCUCCUCCUCGGCGCGCCCGGCACCCGGCUGUCCCCGCCCGGCGUGCGAGCCGGUGUAUGGGCCGCUCACCAUGUCGCUGAAGCCGCAGCCGCAGCCGCCCGCGCCCGCCACUGGCCGCAAGCCCGGCGGCGGCCUGCUCUCGUCGCCCGGCGCCGCGCCGGCCUCGGCCGCGGUGACCUCGGCUUCCGUGGUGCCGGCCCCGGCCGCGCCGGUGGCGUCUUCCUCGGCGGCCGCGGGCGGCGGGCGUCCCGGCCUGGGCAGAGGUCGGAACAGUAGCAAAGGACUGCCUCAGCCUACGAUUUCUUUUGAUGGAAUCUAUGCAAACGUGAGGAUGGUUCAUAUACUUACGUCAGUUGUUGGAUCGAAAUGUGAAGUACAAGUGAAAAACGGAGGCAUAUAUGAAGGAGUUUUUAAAACAUACAGUCCUAAGUGUGACUUGGUACUUGAUGCUGCACAUGAGAAAAGUACAGAAUCCAGUUCGGGGCCAAAACGUGAAGAAAUAAUGGAGAGUGUUUUGUUCAAAUGCUCAGACUUCGUUGUGGUACAGUUUAAAGAUACAGACUCCAGUUAUGCACGGAGAGAUGCUUUUACUGACUCUGCUCUCAGCGCAAAGGUGAAUGGUGAGCACAAGGAGAAGGACCUGGAGCCCUGGGAUGCAGGGGAGCUCACGGCCAGCGAGGAGCUGGAGCUGGAGAAUGAUGUGUCUAAUGGAUGGGACCCCAAUGACAUGUUUCGAUAUAAUGAAGAGAAUUAUGGUGUGGUGUCCACAUAUGAUAGCAGUUUAUCUUCAUAUACGGUUCCUUUAGAAAGGGACAACUCAGAAGAAUUUCUUAAACGGGAGGCAAGGGCAAACCAGUUAGCAGAAGAAAUUGAAUCCAGUGCUCAGUACAAAGCUCGUGUCGCCCUUGAGAAUGAUGACCGGAGUGAGGAAGAAAAAUACACAGCAGUCCAGAGAAACUGCAGUGACCGGGAGGGGCAUGGCCCCAACACUAGGGACAAUAAAUAUAUUCCUCCUGGACAAAGAAACAGAGAAGUCCUAUCCUGGGGAAGUGGGAGACAGAGCUCACCACGGAUGGGCCAGCCUGGGCCAGGCUCCAUGCCGUCAAGAGCUGCUUCUCACACUUCAGAUUUCAACCCGAACGCUGGCUCAGACCAAAGAGUAGUUAAUGGAGUUUUUAUACUUUCCUUCAUAUCAUUUGUUCUGUCAGGUGUUCCCUGGCCAUCGCCUUGCCCAUCUCCUUCCUCUCGCCCACCUUCUCGCUACCAGUCAGGUCCCAACUCUCUUCCACCUCGGGCAGCCACCCCUACACGGCCGCCCUCCAGGCCCCCCUCGAGGCCCUCCAGACCCCCGUCUCACCCCUCUGCUCAUGGUUCUCCAGCUCCUGUCUCUACUAUGCCUAAACGCAUGUCUUCAGAAGGACCCCCAAGGAUGUCUCCAAAGGCACAGCGCCACCCUCGGAAUCACAGAGUCUCUGCUGGGAGAGGCUCCAUGUCUAGUGGCCUAGAAUUUGUAUCCCACAAUCCCCCAAGUGAAGCAGCUGCUCCUCCAGUGGCAAGGACCAGUCCUGCAGGGGGAACGUGGUCCUCAGUGGUCAGUGGGGUUCCAAGGUUAUCUCCCAAAACUCACAGACCCAGGUCUCCCAGGCAGAGCAGCAUUGGAAACUCUCCCAGCGGGCCUGUGCUUGCUUCUCCCCAAGCUGGCAUCAUCCCUGCAGAAGCCGUUUCCAUGCCUGUUCCCGCCGCAUCUCCGACUCCUGCCAGCCCUGCAUCCAACAGAGCACUGACCCCAUCUAUUGAGGCAAAAGAUUCCAGGCUUCAAGAUCAGAGGCAGAACUCUCCUGCAGGGAGUAAAGAAAAUGUUAAAGCAAGUGAAACAUCACCUAGCUUUUCAAAAGCUGACAACAAAGGUAUGUCACCAGUUGUUUCUGAACACAGAAAACAGAUUGAUGACUUAAAGAAGUUUAAGAAUGAUUUUAGGUUACAGCCAAGCUCUACAUCUGAAUCUAUGGAUCAACUACUAAGCAAAAAUAGAGAAGGAGAAAAGUCACGAGAUUUGAUUAAAGAUAAAACGGAAGCAAGUGCUAAGGAUAGUUUCAUUGACAGCAGCAGCAGCAGCAGCAACUGUACCAGUGGCAGCAGCAAGACCAACAGCCCUAGCAUCUCCCCUUCCAUGCUUAGUAAUGCAGAGCACAAGAGGGGGCCUGAGGUCACAUCCCAAGGGGUGCAGACUUCCAGCCCAGCCUGCAAACAAGAGAAGGAUGACAGAGAAGAGAAGAAAGACACAACAGAGCAGGUUAGGAAAUCGACAUUGAAUCCCAAUGCAAAGGAGUUCAACCCUCGUUCUUUCUCUCAGCCAAAGCCUUCUACUACCCCAACGUCACCUCGGCCUCAAGCACAACCCAGCCCAUCUAUGGUGGGUCAUCAGCAGCCAGCUCCAGUGUACACUCAGCCUGUGUGCUUCGCACCCAAUAUGAUGUAUCCCGUCCCAGUGAGCCCGGGCGUACAACCUUUAUACCCAAUACCUAUGACGCCCAUGCCUGUGAACCAAGCCAAGACAUAUAGAGCAGGUAAAGUACCAAAUAUGCCCCAACAGCGACAAGACCAACAUCAUCAAAGCACCAUGAUGCACCCAGCCUCCGCGGCAGGGCCACCCAUCGUAGCCACCCCGCCCGCUUACUCCACUCAGUACGUUGCCUACAGCCCUCAGCAGUUUCCCAAUCAGCCUUUGGUCCAGCAUGUGCCGCAUUAUCAGUCUCAGCAUCCUCAUGUGUACAGUCCUGUCAUACAAGGUAAUGCCAGGAUGAUGGCACCACCAGCACAUGCUCAGCCUGGUUUAGUGUCUUCUUCAGCUGCUCAGUUCGGGGCUCACGAGCAGACGCACGCCAUGUAUGCAUGUCCCAAAUUACCAUACAACAAGGAGACAAGCCCUUCUUUCUACUUUGCCAUUUCCACCGGCUCCCUCGCUCAGCAGUAUGCACAUCCUAAUGCCGCCCUGCAUCCACAUACUCCCCAUCCUCAGCCUUCGGCCACUCCCACCGGACAGCAGCAAAGCCAGCAUGGUGGAAGUCACCCUGCACCCAGUCCUGUUCAGCACCAUCAGCACCAGGCUGCCCAGGCUCUUCAUCUGGCCAGUCCACAGCAGCAGUCGGCCAUUUAUCAUGCGGGGCUGGCACCAACACCACCUUCCAUGACACCUGCCUCUAAUACACAGUCUCCACAGAGCAGUUUCCCAGCAGCACAACAGACAGUCUUCACCAUCCACCCUUCUCAUGUUCAGCCGGCAUACACCACCCCACCCCACAUGGCCCACGUACCUCAGGUAAACCAGCACUAGCCAAGUUUUUGUGAAGGCCACAUAGGGAGUGGUGGUCAGAUAAGCAGCAAGGAGCCAGUUGCUCCCCAAGCCAGGAAACCCUGUGUGUGGUGCCAUCUGCCUGUCUGCCCCUUUCCUGCUUAGCACGUGAUCUUCUGGCUCUCAGUGAAUGUUGCUAUGGUUUUGUGGUGGAUCAGUGAAACUGUGACUUAGCAUUUCCCAGCUGAGACCUUAAACCUCUGAGUCUGGAAUGCACCCCAGUCCUUUCCUUCCUGUGUCUGCUUCGCUGCGUCUCUCUAGCCUCUCCACUGUGUAUAUAUGUGCACACAUGCAGACACCUCUACACGGGAGCACACACGCGAGCCUUAGAGCAGGGUGGCAGGCAGGCCUUCAGUGGCUCUCACUCUGAGGGACUGCACUAGGAUUGUUGGUUUGCGGGUUAGCAGUGUCCCAGCUGUUGCCUGGUUGCCUCUGUCUGCUGUGAUUCCUGAGCUUGGACCUUGGGCUGUGGUGCAGGAGAACUCAGGCUCUAGAGUAGCCCAGACCGUCUGGGGCUUCCCUUCCUUCCUUCCUCCCUUCCUUCCCCCAGUGUAAAGGCUGAGCUUGAAAGCUGUGGUUGCUGAGAGAGCCAGGGCAGCCUGGGCCAUGGAGAGGCCCUCUCUGUAGCUGUUAACGUAAGGUGGCUGGAUCAGAUGUCUGCUACUUUUGAUCACAGUUCCCUGAGGUGGGUCUCACUUAGAAGAGUUCCUGAAUGAUUCUAUUUCCUGUCUCAGUGUGCCAGUGAGGCUCUGGCGAGGUGUGAGCUAACGCUGCUGUGUAGUUGGGUCUCUUGCAGAAGGCUAGCUUGUUCCUGUCCUUCCCCCAGAGCUGAGAGUGUAGAAUAUGCUCCUGUUGGCUGGCGGCAGUGGGGAGGGUAGCCAGUGUGGUCAGUGUGCUUUGGUGGAGUGAGACUUAAGAGAAUCAGGGUCCUCUAAGUGUCCAGCAGAGGCUGUGAAUUUAUGUGUAAGAUGAGCUCAUCCCAAACCUCACUCAUGUAUUUGCAUAAGAGAGUAAGAGGCUAACAGGGAAAGCAGAGAGCCAUGGGCCUGUUUGAAGGUGUGAACCAGUGCUUCGCUGGGGUGAUGGUCUAGAGCAAUGCACAGGAUGGGAGGCAGGAAGCCGCCUCUUCCUGCUCUGCCCACUCCCUGCAGAGCCAAGGUUGAGAUUACCGACCAGGUAGCUAACAUCACCUUUCUAACUUAAAUUUGCUGCCAUUUGGUACUGGGUUGACCCAGCUUCAGAUCACUCUGUCAUCUCAGUGGAGCCAGUGACUCAGCCUUUGCUCCGUCAGUUAAGCUUUUAAAGUGAGGGGCCUAAGUGCUGCUUCACCCUACUUUUGGGGAACCCACUACAACUGGGGAAGGGCGGAAGAGGAGAGACUCAGGAAGCUGCUGAGGGUGCUGGGGAGGCAGUCCCCUUACAGGCCCUUGUCAGUUGCUUUCUGACUGGAAAAGGGCAUUGAUAUAUCUUUGGCCAUGCACCAUAGCAAGCUAAGAAAGUGCCCUUCCCACCCCAAUAGCGGCUGCUUUUGGUGAAGACCUUGCCUUGUGUGGUAUCUGAGCAGACGAGUUGGGGACUAGGAGGCAACUUCCCCAUCUUAGCCCUGCUGGAUCUACCUCAAGGUUACCCAAGAAGUCCAUCUUGCUCCUUCAAGAGCCCUAGUCCAAUGAAAGGAAUAGCUGACUUGUUGUUUAAGAAGGAGAUGUUGCCUGUAUGCGUAAAAGAGCUCUCUGUUUCAGGCUCAUGUACAGUCAGGAAUGGUUCCUUCUCAUCCAACUGCCCAUGCGCCAAUGAUGCUAAUGACGACACAGCCACCCGGCGGUCCCCAGGCCGCCCUCGCUCAAAGUGCACUACAGCCCAUUCCAGUCUCGACAACAGCGCAUUUCCCUUAUAUGACGCACCCUUCAGUACAAGCCCACCACCAACAGCAGUUGUAAGGCUGCCCUGGAGGAACCGAAAGGCCAAAUCCCCUCCUCCCUUCUCCUGCUUCUGCCAACCGGAAGCACAGAAAACUAGAACUUCAUUGAUUUUGUUUUUUAAAAGAUACACUGAUUUAACAUCUGAUAGGAAUGCUAACAGCUCACUUGCAGUGGAGGAUGUUUUGGACCGAGUAGAGGCAUGUAGGGACUUGUGGCUGUUCCAUAAUUCCAUGUGCUGUUGCAGGGUCCUGCAAGUACCCAGCUCUGCUUGCUGAAACUGGAAGUUAUUUAUUUUUUAAUGGCCCUUGAGAGUCAUGAACACAUCAGCUAGCAACAGAAGUAACAAGAGUGAUUCUUGCUGCUAUUACCGCUUUAAAAAAAAAAAAUCAAGACUUGGAACGCCCUUUUACUAAACUUGACAGAAGUUCAGUAAAUUCUUACCGCCAAACUGACGGAUUAUUAUUUAUAAAUCAAGUUUGAUGAGGCGAUCACUGUCUACAGUGGUUCAACUUUUAAGUUAAGGGAAAACUUUUACUUUGUAGAUAAUAUAAAAUAAAAACUAAAAAAAAAAAUUAAAAAAUAAAAAAAGUUUUAAAAACUGAUACCCAGUUAGUGUGUGUUUAUGUUGACUCCUGCUGCUGUGGGAGGUAGACCCCAGGGAAGACAGGCUGGUUGUGCUGCUCCAAUCUCUGAGGAGGUGCUGACCAAAUGACUUUUCUUCUUCACCUUUAGUUCUGGCUCAAGGUAUCUAGAAAAAGUCAAGACUGUGAUUCCCUCUCGGGUGGAUUAGCAGUUGGCUUCAGCAGAAGGCAGGCUGGCCAGAGGUGGGCAGCGUUCAAAAGUCCACAUCUGCAAGCAGGUGCAGACUGUAAGCUCACUUUUCCUUGUUGAUCUGAGUUAUCCCAGUUCAGUUCUGUGUUACCAGUAGGGGGCAGAAGCUCCUUCUUUACAGAGGAAUCUGACCAGGCUCAAGGUGUGGCCACAGUGGCUAAGCACUUGUCUAGUAGCACAGAGCCUUGUCCCUCCUCAGUGUAGCCAGGGAUUGGGGAGGGGGGGGCAGCACAGAAUGAGGCCAGGCUGCCCGAAAGGGAGGCAGGCAAGUGGGAUGGGUGUGUGGAUGCAGAGAUCAUGGUUGUAAUACUGGAAACCUUUUUAAUUGACAUACAGCAAUUUGUACAUUGUAGCAAAAUUUGCAUUAUUCAAGAAUAAGUUACUCAUACAGUACAUAAAACGAAGAUUUGCCAAAUACCUUCUGCUGUAAUGAUAGAAGAUGAGAUUCCCUGUUUCUGUGGUGACAAUGCUGCUUAUUCCGGCCACACACUGGCCAUUAGAUGUGUCUUCACUAGGAGGCAGUGGGUGACAGUUUAUCACUUGGUGUUUGCACCAAGGUAAUAUUAAACAAGAGACUGAGCCCUCAGGGAAGGGGUGAAGCCUUACUUUAAGAAACUUAGGUAAAGAUAGUGUUGUGUGGCCCGAGAUUGUAAUGAUCCCUAUUCCUUUCUCCUACACCAUCCAGAAAUGAUCAGAGGCAGAAGAUUUAUACAGAUAAAGCCAUAUGGAUUGCUGGUAAAGUCAAGGCAGGUUAGUUGACCCAACUCUUUGGUGCUGGUGACUUUUAGUUUGUAGUUGAGUACUCAGGAGAAGGAAGCAAGGGUACGGGGACUGUCGAGCCAGUGGUGGCCAGUAAAGACUGCUGGGGUGGGAACGGUGCCUGGUGCCAACACACUGGGAGGGCAUCUGGCCUGGAGCUUCGCAAACCUGCCCGUCCCCUUCAGCCAACUGGACCUACUCUAGCAGAAAGGAAAGGUGUUGGCUUAGUGUUGUCACUCUGUCCCACAGUCACGAGAAUACCUUUUUGCCUUAUGUUUUCUGUUAUCUUAGACACUUCUUGAAAGGAAGCUGUCCACAGUGGGGGUGGAGGUGCUGGUUUACAGCGUCGGGCAAGUCUCUCUUCUGAAGGC
This is an RNA transcript of Mus musculus (house mouse), 7479 nucleotides long. It is a transcript of the gene named ataxin 2, with no coding region annotated. The record is from RefSeq and is marked validated. The transcript has 24 exons. NCBI's taxonomy places the organism in Eukaryota, Metazoa, Chordata, Mammalia, Rodentia, Muridae.